CCUACGGGCGGCUGCAGUGGGGAAUAUUGGACAAUGGGCGCAAGCCUGAUCCAGCCAUACCGCGUGAGUGAAGAAGGCCUUCGGGUUGUAAAGCUCUUUUGUUGGGAAAGAAAUCCUGUCGGUUAAUACCCGGUAGGGAUGACGGUACCCAAAGAAUAAGCACCGGCUAACUUCGUGCCAGCAGCCGCGGUAAUACGAAGGGUGCAAGCGUUACUCGGAGUUACUGGGGGUGGAGCGUGCAUAGGUGGUUGAAAGCCCCGGGCUCAACCUGGGAAUUGCAUUGGAUACUGGCAGGCUAGAGUGCGGUAGAGGGUAGUGGAAUUCCCGGUGUAGCAGUGAAAUGCGUAGAGAUCGGGAGGAACAUCUGUGGCGAAGGCGACUGCCUGGACCAGCACUGACACUGAGGCACGAAAGCGUGGGGAGCAAACAGGAUUAGAUACCCCGGUAGUC
This 450-nucleotide ribosomal RNA is filed under the name uncultured bacterium. Its description in RNAcentral is "partial 16S ribosomal RNA". It matches the Rfam family "Bacterial small subunit ribosomal RNA", at positions 338 to 795 of the family's 1533-position model. The record is from RNAcentral.